AGGAACGCAAAAAAUCACAUUUCGUGCCCAGUAUUUGAGAAACAGAGAACCCAACCAGUAUGAAAGUGCAAGUAUGGACAAUUAAGGCCUGCUCAAACAGGCGUGGUGCGGUACAGCGCGGUAUAGCAAGAACAUUGUUGCCAGAUGACGAGCUCAAAUUAACGGCACGCUUUUAGCAGCACUUCUCGAUGAAGAAAACAGAAGAAAAAGAAUACACGAAAUAAAUUUGAGAAGAAAAGAAGAUGGUGAAUUUUCCAGCCUGAUGCCCCAACUGCGUGACCACGAAGAGAGAUUUCUUAAAUAUUUCCAUAUUUACGCUCCAUUUUGUACGUUUUGAGAAAGAAUAAACUCCACUAAAAUUCCCGUUCAUA
This is a long non-coding RNA of Rhagoletis pomonella (apple maggot), 371 nucleotides long. RefSeq lists it as uncharacterized. The record is from RefSeq and is a predicted model, not a curated record. The transcript has 3 exons. NCBI's taxonomy places the organism in Eukaryota, Metazoa, Arthropoda, Insecta, Diptera, Tephritidae.